CAACCUGUCAUGGCGGCCGGGCUGUUGGAUUGGAGCGCUCGCCGCCUUUUGGCAGUAGCCGCGACGCGAGGGCUCCCAGCCGCCCGCGUUCGCUGGGAAUCCAGCUCGGCCAGGGCCGUGAUCGCCCCGUCGGCUGUGGCUGGAAAGCGGACGCCGGAACCGACCGUACGCUGGCAGGAGGACCCAGAUCCGGAGGACGAAAACCUCUCCGAGAAGAACCCAGACUCCCACGGUAUGACAAGGACCCUGUUGUGGACCUCUGGAACAUGCGGAUCGUCUUUUUCUUUGGCUUCUCCAUCGUCUUGGUCCUUGGCAGCACCUUUAUAGCUUAUCUGCCUGAUUACAGAAUGCAGGAGUGGGCCCGCCGAGAAACUGAGAGGCUUGUUAAAUACCGAGAGGCCAAUGGCCUCCCCAUCAUGGAAUCCAACUGCUUUGACCCCAGCAAGAUCCAGCUACCAGAGGAUGAGGACUGACCCGUUGCCAAGUGGGGCUCAAGAACCAUCACCUUCUCCACCGCCUGCCUGUCAUUCUGCCCUUUCUUCAGAGCACCUAAUUAAAGGGACUAAAAGUCUGAAAAA
Enhydra lutris kenyoni (northern sea otter) is the source of this 578-nucleotide RNA transcript. It is a transcript of the gene named NADH dehydrogenase [ubiquinone] 1 beta subcomplex subunit 11, mitochondrial pseudogene, with no coding region annotated. The record is from RefSeq and is a predicted model, not a curated record. The transcript has a single exon. Lineage: Eukaryota; Metazoa; Chordata; Mammalia; Carnivora; Mustelidae.